CUAAGAGGUACUCAAAAAAAUGAACUGUGUACUACUCAGGAACGGGCCCAACCGAAACUGAUCCGCAAAAUGUCCUGCAAAUCCAUUAAUCACUUUUUAGGAAUAAAUAGAUAUAGUUUAAUACUAUGCAUUGCUGCUCAACACAAUGCUAGUUAGGACACGUAGUCAUGGACUUUAUGUGCAAAAGAAGAUAUUUGAGUAGGCUUCUUACUGACAAAGACACAAGGGGAGGGACGAUGCAUAAAAAUGUAUGACUGAUGCAAUGGGAGGUAUGAAAACCCACCUAGAGUUAUUCUUAUUUACAGAGUCAAAUUGACCUGGGAUUUGGAGGUGACAUGAUUUAUUCUAAAUUCACACCUCAAACUGUCACAAGAACUGACGAAAGUCAUGUGGCGGUAUGUGAGAGCUUUAUAUUUAGAGCAACACUGCCUCACUGAGUCAUCCUGCAGAGUUUUCAAACUGUAGCUGCGAAGGAGUUCACAGGCAUCUUCAAUGUCAAAUAAUCGCAUCACCACUUUACUGCCAAACACGUCGGCAAUAACAAUAUCGACUUGAAAAAUCAUACAUUCCGGUACUUCUUUAGAAAGAGCUUAACUCAAACCCAGCUGUGACCUCAGACCUCGCUCCUAACCUGUGUGUGUGUGUGUGUGUGUGUGUGUGUGCUUUCAUUCAUACAAUAUGUGUGUGUAAUGUCAAUCCGCUCUAGUCAUCCUACACUUAUCCUUCAUCCUCUCUGCACCCAUACCACUCCUAUGCUCACACUCCCUAAACCCCAGCACUUAGCACACCCCCUGGAUCACAGACACAAUGCUACAGGACUCCUCCCCGCCGACCCCAUCGGUCUCGAGCUCGCUGAACAUCGCCAAACCGUGCCAAAUUUAACCAACUUAGAAGAACGGGUGAGAUCUUUUGAAGAGAAGCGUGACAUAAACAUAGCUGAGGAUGAGAGAGAAGUAGAGGGUUUACAUGCACCUCCCUCUCCCCUCAGAUGUUCAAUCCCCACAUAUGCAUAAUUCUGUCUCAGAGGAUGCUCUGCUGCUUUUAGAUGUUGUGAUUUGCAUGGAUUUGAAGAGGAGAUGGAGGUGGAUUUCCAGGACACUCAUGACAGAAUGUGACCAUACCAUAGAGGCAUGCUGGAUUAUAAAAGCCUGGGUCUUUGAUAAAGGAGAUCAAGGAGAGCAACAGGAGAUGUGGAGGAAGGUAAUUACAGGCCAAGGGCUGACAGUGGCUGUAAAAAUGGCACAUUUCUGAGGGGUGAUUUAUGGCUCAGGCAUCUGAGGAUGCAGAGAUGUGGGGAAUGAUGUUGUUCAGGCAGAGUGAUAUGUGGUAUGCAUCAAGUUGAUGCAUAAUGUUGAAUGUACAAACAGAUGAGUAUAUUUGGCGAUUGUGACUGUUGAAGAUAGCGAUUGCAAAGUUUGGUUUAAAAAAUGCCGUGGUUACAAUCAAAGUCUCUGAGGUGAUAAACAGCCACAUCCCAUGAAAAGCAAACAUUAUGCAUAAUGUAUCAUUUAAAAAUGGUUCAAAACGUGAUUCUAUAAGUUGAAGUUUACUUGCCUGAGGAAAAUGGGUUCUCCGUUUCAUAUCUGUUAAUUUAAUGAAUGAAUUGCACUACAACACUGCAUUUGGAGGAAUUGUUGACAUUUUGAGAAAGGCAGCAAUUUGUAGCAGCUGGUAAGCUCAGUUCAGCCUCAUGACUUGAAACCGUGCUCUGUCCAAGUUACAGAGUAGUCCGACUCUUAACGCACCUAUAAAACCUAUAACUUAUAUCUCGGUUAAGUAAUCAAGAUAUAAUGUUCUUAUUAAUGGUGUUUAGCUGGUGACCCUUGUUCCCAGUCUAAACCAUACUCGCCGGCUUCUGGCUCUGGCUCAACAUUUAUCCGACAGAUAUAUUUGUGGAAUUUUAUUAUCUUGUUUUUCAACAAUAUCCCACAAUGUUGAACCAGACCAAGCAUAUAAAAGGAAUGCAUGAAUAAAAGGCUACCUGUAGCCUGAAUAGGUCCAAUAAAGUCUUCAUGUAAGGAUAAGGAUGAGAGUUAGAGACACACCAAGGACUAUUCAACACUCACGCUUUGUUCGUUAUGUUAACAUUAAUGUCAGGAGUCCGCAUUGUAUGUGAUUGGAGCUAGCAUUGCAGCAGGAGGACCUGCUCUUCCUCGAUGCCAGUUUAGGGCCAAUAGAAAUCUUUUCUACUAUAUCUAACAAGUACAAAACGUGAUGUUUUUCCUGAUGUUAGUCAGUUGUUCGUCUGGUCUGUGAGGAUAGAAAAAUAUUUGUCAGGUAUAUUAGCGAAUUGGAGGCCAAUAAAACAGGGAGUCUGAGUGGAGGGAGUGUAAAUAGCAGAAUUUCUUUAAAAUAUUGGAGAAUCACCCGCUCCAUCUAUAAUUUCCCUUCGGUAUUGCUCACACAGCAAGUUUGAGGCAUCUCAAGAUCCAACCCUUAACGUAUUUGUGUAUUGCAAUGCAAUUUGAGACUUGUUUGCAACCCAAACAUUUAAAAAAACUCCAGAGUAUUGUAAAGUCUAAAAGUUAGUAGACAGUUAAAGAAUAUGUAAUCAUUUCCAGAGUUCACAAACAUUUUUUUGUGUUCCUACAAUACAUAUUUUCUGGUGGGUGGUCCUUUAAAAAUAAUAUUUUCACAAUGGGAAAGGAGAGUUUGCACUCUAAUCGCCACAUACUAUUUAAAUAACUACACAAUUUAGCAGCAAUCAAACAAAACCAAAGUGUUUAUUAGUGACUCAGGUCAAAGAGGUCUGUUGUGGAACUACAAUUUCAAUUGAAAAUGUCAUAACAAGACAAGUGAUAAUCAGACUAAUGACCGAACAUAUGGAUAAUGUCAUCAUGAUAAAGAUGAGGAAAUUGCAACGCAGUUUCUCAGGACAAUGUUGGAAACAGUGAAGCAAAUAUCUGAAGACACUGGAAACACUGCUAAUGAGCUAAAUGUAGAAAAGACAACACAAGCCAGUCAGAAAGCAGUUCAUUUGGUGGAAAAAUAUUCACAGCUCCAGCUAACUAGUCAAGUUCUGCAGGAUCCAGUUCCAGCAAUCCAGGAAGUUAAGAGGCUGAGUGCCUCUUGACUUAAUGCAGAUUACUUUGCCGCAUCAAGGGGCAUCCAUCCAUCCAUCCAUUCAUCCAUCCAUCUGCAAAGCUGCUUAUCCUUCAUACAGGGUUGCGGGGGGGCUGGAGUCAGCUAAAGCCAAAGUUGCAGUUCAAGUGCAGUCAGUCGAAGAAUCACAAAACAUGUCUGCGACCAAUUCAAAAGACUCUGACCCUUGCUGACAAUUUCCAUGCUUCGGAGAAGGGAAAUGGUGAUCUUUGUGAAUGAGAGUACUGCACAGUUCCUGCCCUGUGACUUUCUGCCAGUGUAAGAGGUAAAACAAGAUAAGAUGGAAAGGAGGAAGUGGAAAACAGCUACAAACAAGAAAAAGAAGCAAAAACAGAAGAAGGUCUUGACCGUAGUUAAGAGGACGAAAGUAACUGGAGAAUCAUCAGACAACCAGCAGAACUACUGAAACAUGUUGGGAGCCAGAUCAGAAGCGAGGCAGAGGAUUUCCAGCUACAAGCGACGAACAAAGAACAGGAGCAAAGUGGUAAGGAAGACGAUGGCGUCCAGAGGAGGUUGAGGAUGCAGAAGUGGAGCAUGGAGGGGCAGAAGGAGCUGAUCAAGAGGAGUCAGGAGUCAGGGUUCAUCAUUUGAUGGAGCAGAUGAGAGGGAUCUUGAGUUGCCUUCAGUUUCCACCAGAAUGUAUCCUUUUCGACAAAGAAAUCCACCCAAAACACAAUACAAUAGAUUAGGUCAAUUGUCAUUUAAGAUAAAAAGGGCCAUGUUUUGGGAGGGAGACACAUGUUCAUAAUUACUUAAAGGUCUUACUGUUACGGUAAGUUAGAUGGGCGUGGGCCCAAGCGCAGCACACAGGAGUCACAGGGAGGUUCUUCCGACUUGAAAAAUAAGAUAUUUAUUUAAACAUAUAAAAAGGGCGCACGAGGACAGGUUGACUCCGCAGGGAAGAAUGGCCUCGGAGGACCCGCUAGCCGGCAGGUAGGAAUCCUCGAGCACACUCUGACGGCAGAACUAUCUGGCGCUGAAUGGCAGGAAGACCCGGGUUCAUAUGGGAGUCCCUUGAUGGCUGAUUGUCGUCAGCUGUUGCAGGCCACACCCUUCGGGGAUGCCCAGGCGGAGACCACACCUCCUUUCAGACACGGGAAAACACAGGCAAAGGAAACAGAGGGAGCUGCUGGGCUGACAGCAUGACACUUACUGAGACAUAUGUUACGGAUAUAUAUAUAUAUAUAUAUAUAUAUAUAUAUAUACACAAAUACAAUAUAUGUGUGUGUGUAAUCGGCUAUCUUUUUGCCUUCUUGGUUUCUGUGUUAACAUCUAGCUUUGAUCAAUGGGUCCUGAAAUGCGCCGAAUGUGUUAGAUUUAGCAAAAUUUGGUUAUGACAUUUUGGUAACUCUUUUAAUCUUUGUUUGAGUUGUGUCUGGAGCAAGUUCAAACAGCUUAGUAUGCAUUCUAGGCAAGGCUCUAAUGUUUCUCCUGGUGUACCAUUAUAUUAGUUUUUUUGCGGAAUGCCUUUUUUUCGACAGUAUGGGGGACGCUCGGGUACAAAAGACAGUUGAUUGAAUAAAAAAUCUUUUAAUCUAAAGAAUCACUUCACACAACGCACCCCUGCCACCAUGGGUCUGCGAUAUCAGCGACUAUCGCACUACCACCAAUGAAACAUCCAGCACACGUUUAAACAUGAACAUAUAGAAAAAAGAAGUGAAAAAACUAGUUAAAUUGAGUAAACCUGCAGCCUUGAUACCUCAAUGUAAGAUCCUUUAAAAUGUUUUUUUCUCUCAAAAAAAUAAAUGAUUCCCUUUUAGAUUUAACGGAGUGUUUAAUAACCUCCUGACCAAUGCUGAAUGCAGUCCCAAUCACUUUGUCAAGAUUUGGCACUUACUAGAUCAACCCCACGUCAAGAAAUAAGUAAGUAUUUCUGCAAAACAACACAAACUGCUGUAUUCCUACCGGACUUUUUAAUCAAUGUUUAUCACACAGAAGAGAUCAGAAUAUGACCUUGAUGGGUAUUGAGCAUGCCAUGUAUGAACCUACAUGUAGUUGCCACGCAUUGAAAGAGAAGUGACACAUUCAGUAUUAAUCAUACUUGAAAAAUGCGUUGAGUCUGACUCAAUCUCCACAAAUUGCUUUCAUUUUUUUUUUUUGUGCUUUCCCUAUCAGGUCUCCGUAGAUUGUGGUUCCUUCUGGACCCUGGUCCUGACACCUGCCGGCCUUGUCACGGUGUGGUUCACUUCCUGUUGUAUUUUGUAGUUUUCUGCCACUCGUGUCCCCGGGUAACUUCACUUCCUGCCUUGUCCCGUCAUCCCCUGUGAUUGUCUAAUAGUUUCCACCUGUGUCCAAUCACCUGCACCUCCCUUGUGUAUUUAAGCCGUGUGUCUCUUGUGUCACUUGUCGCGUCAUUGUCUUUCGCCACGCAUGUCCUUGUCUUUCGUCUUGGAUCCCCGUAGAUUCAUGCCUGUGUGCUUUUGCCCCCGGUUCCUGUGUUUUUUGACCCUUUUGACUAUUAAAGUCUUUUUGUUUCCCGCAAGUCUGCGUUUGAGUCCUGCCUCCCACCCGCGCC
Gasterosteus aculeatus aculeatus (three-spined stickleback) is the source of this 5617-nucleotide long non-coding RNA. The record is from Ensembl. NCBI's taxonomy places the organism in Eukaryota, Metazoa, Chordata, Actinopteri, Perciformes, Gasterosteidae.